Long non-coding RNA from Portunus trituberculatus (swimming crab), 1092 nucleotides. RefSeq lists it as uncharacterized. The record is from RefSeq and is a predicted model, not a curated record. The transcript is spliced from 3 exons. NCBI's taxonomy places the organism in Eukaryota, Metazoa, Arthropoda, Malacostraca, Decapoda, Portunidae.
CCGCACCGCCACCACCUGCGACAGAGACGGUCGUUUCGUGAGAGGAAGGACGUCCUGAAUGAGCUAGAUGACCGUGAGCUGGUGAAGAGGUAUUGGCAGGAUCCUGCUGGUAUCAUUUUCGUGACAAAUUUGGUGCGGGAAAGGCUGAAGAGACCAACUGCAAGGAACAAGGCCUCUCUCCCCGAGAUGCAAGUUAUCUUCACUGCGGUACCUCGCUAUAGGAAAGAUGCAGCAGUGCAGCACUGAUGACUUGGGGCCCUCACAACAGACCAUCAGCAGGAUCAUCAGUGAUACAGUGAUACAAUGCCAUCCUCUCUUAAUUCAUAAGAUUUUUAGUCACCCAACUGGAAACUCAGUGGAGGAAGGAGGAGUUUCUGCAGAUUGCUGGCUUCCCUGAAGUGAUCGGUGGCAUUGAUGGAACGCACGUAAUGAUUGUGGCUCCUAGAGAGUAUAAGGUAGAGUUUGUCAACAGGAAGAGAUACUACAGCAUCAACGUGCAGUUUGUGUUUGAUGCUUGAUACCACAUUAUUGAUGUGGUUGCAAAGUGGCCGGGAUCGGUUCACGAUGCAAGAAUACUUGUUCAAAGUGGACUCUGCACGAUAUUUGACAACGGCAUCGUCCCAGCUGGGUGUCACUUACAGGAGAUAGUGACUAUCCCAGCAAGAAGUGGCUACUGACUCCAUACCUCAGACCACAGCCUGGAGCACAGUCUUCUUAUAACAGGGCCCACAAGAAAACCUGCAGCGUUGUUGAGAGGCAUCGGGCAGCUGAAGCGACAUUUUCACAUGCUACACAGUGAGAUCCGAGUUGGUCCUCCAUCCAAGGUCUGCCAAAUUGUAGAGGUUUGUGCACUGCUGCACAACAUCUGCAAAGCAAGAAACAUCAUUCUUCCUGAGGAAGAAGAACAUCUUGCUGCAGCCGAGGAUGGAGGCAACGAGGAGCGACUCUAGCACAGAAAGUUCAAAGUCGCCAUGAAGUAAUCCUUUACAGGGAUGAAUUUGUUGUGCUUCACUUCAACAUUGAUGAGUGAUGAGACACCAGUGUCAUGACUGCUGAGAUUGGUGUUAUUCUCAUGUAAGUAGUUUUUUUUUU